GGAAAACAUUUGCCCCAAAUAUCUGCAUAGCUUGUUUCCUCUCUUCCUCCAAGUCUUUGUUCAACGCCAGCUGCACAGUGAUGCCUUCCUUGAGCACACCAUUUAAAUCGUAGAAAAGAACAUGGGAUUUUGUCUGCUACGUUCACUGCUGUAUCUCAACACCAAAGCAAUGCCCAGCACAUUGUAGCCAUGCUGUGGUAUGCUAUCCAGAUCCCCUUUCAGACCAAGGCACUCAUUUCCCCAGCUGCUGGGAGAGUUGGUGGCCGAUGGAGUCCAGCUGAGUCCCUCACCAGGCACAGCUUUCAGCUGAAGACAGUUGUUUCAGCCAAGUUCAUGCCCCUACCCUAGAGAUAAAGGCUAGCCCUCAUCCAAUGACUGACCACUGUUGGAGUAUGACUGCCUCGCCCCCUUGCCUUAAUUUGGGAUGACUCUGUAGCUCCAUCCCAGCUCCAGAGCUCCUAUAGACUCCACUGAGGCCUUGUAAUUGCAUUGCAGUUCAACUCCUCUCUCUGCCCAGUCCCACAUACUUCACUCUCCCGCAGGGAUUGACGCAGAGGGCACUACUCCAGUGAACUUCCUGCACAGAGACCUUCACUUCAGGGUCUGUUUCCCGGGAAACUCAACCCAACACUGUGGGUACCAGCAGGGGUUUGAGGAAGCAGACUCUAAAAAGAGAUUUUGGUGGUGGAUUACCUGGCAAUGAGAAGCCCAUCACUGAUGGCGAGUAGAGCACUGAUAGCUCCUGGCCAUUUGUUAACAUUUUCAUUGGUGCUGAAUUGGGAUGGAAUUCUGUCGGUAGGGAAAGAACCAGCAGGCUCAAUAUCUCAAGCUUUUGAGAGGUUCAGGGGAAGUACUAAUUAUAAGGACAACGCCUCUUGCUGAGGGCUGUUGAUACGUUUGAGAAAGACAAUGAAAGACGGGGGUCAUUAAUCAGCACUUGAAGGCGAAGAGAGAAAGUCAGAGGCUUGCUUGGAGGCAUAUAAAGAGACUCACUUCCUGAAGCCAAAGGGCAGACAAAGCGGAGGACUUCAUGAUAAAAGUAGCAUCCAGAGAGGGCUGACUUCUCAGUCCUGGCAGGGCUGGGAAAGAGCAGGAUCCUGGGACUUGGGAUGAAGACUUGUGGGUUGAUACCCUUGGAAACCUGGAAACCCUUGAGGCCUCUGAGGGAUGGACGCCUCCUCCGUAAAAUGAGAUGAGCAAGAAACCCUGGCCUAGUCCCGUGCUUAGGGAAGUUAACUUCAGGAAACUCCAGCUUUGUGAAGAGCACAGACACUAGUUUAGAUUAUGCUAUGUAGAUUUAAGAAGGCAAUUAUUUUAUUGCAACCUACCUAUAUAUAUUUUUACUUUAUUUCAUCGAAUCAUCAAAAGCCUGUGAGGAAGAUAAAUAAUUGCCAUUUUGGAGUCGUGAUUUUUCUUCGUAACUUCACGCCCAGAGCUUCCACAGCCGUGUAGCUCAGUGGCAAAGAGCUUGUGCUCGCCAGACUGCCCACACCACGUCCUGGCUCCUCCACUUACUGUGCAUCCUUGGGCAAGUUCUUGAUGCCUCAUUCUCCUCAUGUGCAGCAAAUCUAACUCCAGAGGGCCAGAAUACGUCUGUCCAUCCUCUUUCUGUCCUUGAACCUGAGACUUAGUCAUCUGGAACCACAGCCUGCUUAAUGAAAUUUCCUCGCCGAUUCUCCAUUGAACAUUAACGCAUUUUGGAGUUCCCUUUUCAUCUCAGAUGAGGAAACUGUUCACUUCUGCU
Molecule: long non-coding RNA, 1744 nt
Organism: Equus asinus (donkey)
Lineage: Eukaryota; Metazoa; Chordata; Mammalia; Perissodactyla; Equidae
Source: Ensembl